UUGUCUUCUAAAACCCUACAAAUCUUCCACAAGCACCCUUUUCCAUUGCCUCUCCUAACUCAACACAACCACCGUCACAAGAAUUACAACAAUCGGUCGUCAUUGUCCCCUCACACUCUCCUCAAAAUCGCUUGUGAGUUUCCAGCUAGUCACAAUUGUCUCUCGAGUACAUCGCCUACCCCAACUCCCCUCUCAACGCCGGUGCCGUGCCUUUGUGAUUUUAGAUUUGCAGUCAUGGAGAUCACUUGUGCCCAACAUAAUACCAUCUCUGAGCCACCUACCACCAAUGGGCUCGCAAGGCUGGAAGAUUGAC
RNAcentral lists this long non-coding RNA (313 nucleotides) under Helianthus annuus (common sunflower). RNAcentral's name for it is "hypothetical non coding rna". The record is from RNAcentral. Lineage: Eukaryota; Viridiplantae; Streptophyta; Magnoliopsida; Asterales; Asteraceae.